GCCAGGCGUGGUAGUGCGUGCCUGUAAUCCCAACUACUCAGGAGGCUGAGGCAGGAGAAUCGCUUGAACCCAGGAGGUGGAGGGUGCAGUGAGCCAAGAUCACGCCACUGCACUCCAGCCUGGGAAACAGAGCGAGACUCCGUCUCAA
This 148-nucleotide non-coding RNA is filed under the name Nomascus leucogenys (northern white-cheeked gibbon). The record is from Rfam by way of RNAcentral. Lineage: Eukaryota; Metazoa; Chordata; Mammalia; Primates; Hylobatidae.